Molecule: ribosomal RNA, 41 nt
Filed under: Pleosporaceae sp.
Lineage: Eukaryota; Fungi; Ascomycota; Dothideomycetes; Pleosporales; Pleosporaceae
Description: partial 28S ribosomal RNA
Source: RNAcentral
CUUUGACCUCGGAUCAGGUAGGGAUACCCGCUGAACUUAAG